Long non-coding RNA from Peromyscus californicus insignis, 4062 nucleotides. RefSeq lists it as uncharacterized. The transcript has 2 exons. NCBI's taxonomy places the organism in Eukaryota, Metazoa, Chordata, Mammalia, Rodentia, Cricetidae. The record is from RefSeq and is a predicted model, not a curated record.
CUCCAUAUUCCUUCUGCCUCAGGCCCUCCUCUUGUCAAUGACACAAGGAGGAAUAACUUAUCUGAUGCAACCACACUCUGAAUCCUGAUGUAGCUUCAUCCGGAAAAAUCCUUCGCCAGAACUGCAGCUCCCCUGAGAAGGCUUCUGGGUUGGUUAAGAAGCUGAAGAAACCAAGGCUGAGAGAAGGCAGCUUUCUUCAAGGUCACACAGAUGUGUGGAAGAACUAACAGCAGACCUCAGCAUCCCACUCCAUAUUCGGGGGACUGAGCAUCUGCGAAUUGCUGAGUAUCCUGCCCCUUCCUUCUGGUCCAGUUUCCUGGUGUUUUUCGUGAUGUUGUCUGUCUGUCCUACGAGGGGUUUCCCUGAGGGUGGAAGUGAGACCGCGGGCACAGAGAGUGCAUUGUUCAACGGCACCUGGAGUCUGUGUCAGCAAAAUAGGGAAGUGGCGCGAGGCUGGCGAGGGUCUGAUCCAUUCCCUCCGCUGGGGUGCUGACCUCCAUCUUGCUGACUCCUGCCUGGAACUGGUCCUUUCCCUGAGUCCUGGGUUGCCUGUCAGAGGCCACGAGGGGAGGAAAGCCCCUCACUUUCCCUGUCUGAUGAUGAGGAUAGGCCACUUGGGUUUCCUUCAGCACGGCUCGCUGGAUGUCAGUCCCGCAGAACACCCUUCAAGAAAAGGGUCGCAUGACCGAGAGAGCGGAGGAUGUCGCCCAUCCCUGGAGGGUCACAGUGCACACUGCACGUGAAAAACUCUGACAGGUCUUGAAGACAUUCAAGGCAGUGUUUCUCAGAUGACUCCUUUGGUCACUGAACCUUCUGGUAUCUUGGCUGCCUACCCUUCCACUGACUACAGUUUGGGAAAUGUUCUAACAGGUGAUCUCUAACUAAGGUCCCUCCAAAACGUGAGCCGUAACACUAAGAACUGUUGCUGACCUCGGUCAUGUAACAUUGACUUCCCAGCACCCUUGUUUUUACGGAAUCUUUUUCAAGUCUUGGCGGGAAGAAUUGUCUCCCACUCCUGGAGAGAUUGGUGGAAGCAGGUUCCUCUUUUUAGUUGUAUAGCUACUCGACGACUUGUGACCUAGGUUAGGACUUUGAACCCAGAGAGGUGGAUCCACCCAGACUUCCAGGGGUAGCAGAGGGGUCAUUUCAAGAAGCCAUGCUCACAGGCGUGAAUGGACAUCUGUGGUGGCAUUCCACAUGGAUUCUCUGACUAUAGCGUCAGCUCAGCUGGAGCUCUAGCUGCCAAGGACUCCUGGGCGCAUGGGUAUUCUAAGACUCACUUUGAUUCUUCCCACGGAUACUCUGCAUCCCUUCCAUGCAGGUCGGGCUGAGUUGUUACUGUUGUUUAUAAAGAGAAUCCUGACAGCAUCGAGGUGCUCAAGAAGUGUUGGUUGAAUGGUGUUGGGAUGUGGCGGAGUUGGUUGAGUACUCAGCUCACAUGCACGAAGCCCUGGCUUUGACCCCGAGCCCUGGACCCAAAGCUGGACUUGGUGGUGCACACCUGUAAUCCCAGCGCUCAGGAGAUGGGAGCAAGACGAUCAGAAGUCCAGGGUUUAGCCAGGCGGUGGUGGUGCAUGCCUUUAGUCCCAGCACUUGGGAAUCAGAGGCAGGUGGAUCUCUGUAAGUUCGAGGCCAGCCUGGUCUACAGAGUAAGUUCCAGGACAGACAAGGCAACAUAGAAAAAUCCUGUCUCGAUAAAAAGAAAACAAAAGAGAGCAAGACAGAAGCUCAAGGAUUGACAUCAGCCUGAGCUACAAGAAAUUCUCUCUCUCUCUCUCUCUCUCUCUCUCUCUCUCUCUCUCUCUCUCUUUCCUUCUGUUGAGUGAAUCUAAAUAGCCAAUUUUGGCACCAAGAUAGUGUCCACUGCCCUAUUUUGUCAGUAUUACAGUCAGAACUGUCUUCGCCCACUGAUACUGACUGUUGGCCCUACGUGGGGUGCAUCAGGGGUGCCAACUCUACCUGAUGGGAGAGACUGGCCAGGGCCAGAAGAAGUCCUGUCAAAGUGCUGUGUGGACACAGGAGAGUCCCAGCAGAAGACUCCAGAGCUGGGAGUUAGAAAGCAGUGGGUCUGGAUGGGAGUGAGAUAGCCUAGAGUAGGGAGCAAUCCAAGCUGAGUGGGAGUGAGAUAGCCUAGAGUAGGGAGCAAUCCAAGCUGAGUGGGAGUGAGAUAGCCUAGAGUAGGGAGAAAUCCAAGCCUCUGGAUGGAGGCUAGCCUGGGGAAUGCUGGCUUGGUAUGAGCGUAUCAGGAUCAGCCCCAGAGGCCACGCUAAAGAGAAUGGCUUAUUCCAUUGGCUGUGGGGGAGUCACCGAAGUCUUGACUGGGGAGGGUCAAAGGCAAUUUGGUGCAUAGGGAGACCCUGGGUUUGACACGCAGAUGUCACUGGGUGUAAGCUACAGCUUGGGCAAGUCAUGUGAACUUCAAGCCUUGAUCAUCUUUAAAAAUGGAUACAGGCCUGGGGGUUAUGCCUUAGUGGCAGAACAGAGGCCCUGAUUAGUUAUACACACACACACACACACACACACACACACACACACACACACACACACACACAUACACACACACACACACACACACACACACACACACACACACAGAGGCACGUGAACCUAAAGUACCUAAUGUGGGGGCUGGUGAGGUGGCUCAGCAGGUGUUUGCCACCAAGUCUGAGUUCCGACCCUUCCUGGAAUCCACAUGAUAGAAAAGAGAUAACUGAUUUUUCUAAGUUGUAUUUUGACCUCUUCAUGCAUGCUAAAUAGAUACAUGUACAUAAACUACUUGGUAUGUACCAGGCAUCCCAUGAAGAAUGUGCUGUCCUGACUGAGCUCCCUGGAUUGGAACAUCAGAGCCCCUUCACUAGCUGAAUUCCUGGAGAGCAGGGACUACUGUGCCUUUUAUGUCCUUAUUCUCAACCCAGUUCCUGGAUCAGAAGACAUGCCAGGAGACACUUUGAAUGGGAUGGGUGGUGGAGUUCUACAGCUGCAGUGGAGGAAGGAAUAGAGAGGUGUGACUGUUUGGCAGGGAGGCCAGUGUUGGAAGGAUCCAGGCCAGAGAUGUGGAGCCAGCCCUGGAGAGAGUGAGGUGUGACCCCGAGGAAACUCAAUCUUCACCUUUUGGAAGCUUUUCAGUGUAGAGGGUAAGGAAGAGCGAGGCUCCAGAGAGCAGAGGGGUUCUUGUCUUGUACAAAGUAAGAGAGAAAGCAACCUUCCUUUCUGGGCUUUUUAACUCAGUGAGCAUUUGGAUGAACGUGAAGACAGGCCUGAGUAGACUGGGUAGCCCGGCCCAUUCAUUCUUGGUGCUGAAGUACACAGAUAGAGAUUUUAAACUCCAAACACAGACAGAGUUUUUGAAAUGGGCUGUGGAGGUACCAAGGUUCCCGUUGGUAGAGGUGGUAUGAGAAGGUGCUGGGCAGCUUUGAGGAAAGAAGCUAGAAUAAAUUAACCCAAGAGUUGCCUGGGAAGUGUAUCUGUCAGCGUCUGCUGUGUAAGAAGCACACAACCUCUGUGCUACACAUCAGGAAAGCUUUACGGUCCACAGGUCUGGAGUGAAUUGAGGUAGAGUAGACUGCACUAUUGAUUUUAGAUGGGGCUUACAGGUCUGGAGGUUUCUGGGUUGCUGAUUGAUCUAGACUGUUUCAGCCAGCAUGACGGCAUGACCACUUAUCUUGCAUCUUGCAGGUGGACCCACGCUUGUGGGCUUGGCUAUGGUGGGGCCAGAAGCAGGGCAGACACCGACCUGAAGACCUCUGAAGGUCUUGGCUCAGAACUGCUACCUAGUUAUCUCUGUACGCCUUGUUGGGCAGAGCAGACUACAGGAGGAGGGCAUACAGAUGCCACCUUGAAGUGGGAACAGCGACAGGCUGUGUACAGGGAAGGGUAAGGAAUCAGGGUCAUCAGCACAAUGUGUGAUGAAUGGUGACAAGGACAGCAUUUCUCAGCUGAGCUCUGUGUAGACCCAAGUUCUGUUCGUUUUCCUCUGGGGUCUUGGGUUGAGAUUGUUUUCCUAGACGAUUGUUAAAAUCCUCUUAAUAUACAUUUGUUUAUUAAAUUGCAUUUAUUUAUUUA